Molecule: ribosomal RNA, 442 nt
Filed under: uncultured bacterium
Lineage: Bacteria
Description: partial 16S ribosomal RNA
Rfam family: Bacterial small subunit ribosomal RNA
Source: RNAcentral
CCUACGGGGGGCAGCAGUAGGGAAUCUUUCACAAUGGGCGAAAGCCUGAUGGAGCAACGCCGCGUGCAGGAUGAAGGCCUUCGGGUUGUAAACUGCUUUUAUAAGCGAGAAAUAUGAUGGUAACUUAUGAAUAAGGAUUGGCUAACUACGUGCCAGCAGCCGCGGUCAUACGUAGGAUCCGAGCAUUAUCCGGAGUGACUGGGUGUAAAGAGUUGCGUAGGUGGCAUAAUAAGUAGCUAGUGAAAUCUGGUGGCUCAACCAUUCAGACUAUUAGCUAAACUGUUAAGCUCGAGACCGUUAGGGGUAACUGGAAUUUCUAGUGUAGGAGUGAAAUCCGUAGAUAUUAGAAGGAACACCAAUAGCGUAGGCAGGUUGCUGGGACGGUUCUGACUCUAAGGCACGAAAGCGUAGGGAGCAAACGGGAUUAGAUACCCUAGUAGUC